GUCAUUCACAGCUGCCUGAAAGGAGGACCGCAGUAUUCCCACGCAGGAAGCUUGGACCAAAAGCAGGAAUGCUUAAGGGCGCAUAUGACUUGCCAUGUACAUGUGGCCGACAAAGAGAAGGGAAGAUGGAGCCGCCAUCUUCAACAGGAGUGGCACAACUGUCGGAUCUAUGUCUGCAGCUGGAUUUUACAGGCUGCUCUUCGUUAGAAAGGAAAACUUUACGGAGGACUUCCAUGCCUUCACUAUCUGCCUAAGUAAAUUCUUCUUAACUCCUG
This is a long non-coding RNA of Homo sapiens (human), 275 nucleotides long. Ensembl annotates it as NUDT19 divergent transcript. Its record names the gene NUDT19-DT. The record is from Ensembl. Lineage: Eukaryota; Metazoa; Chordata; Mammalia; Primates; Hominidae.